AGCAUAACGAUAUUUAUAUACCAUAAAGUGAUAAAACUAUUACAUGUAAAAGGAGAAAAUAUGUGUGAAAUUGUCAAGUUUGUUAUGAUUUUCAUUCUUUCUGCAUUUCUUGUUUCAACAAACAUAGAUUGGCGUAAUAAUAGAUGUAACAGAGACGCUGAAUGUCGAAAUAUGUAUUGUCGCUGGGGUCUUGAACCAAGGUGUAUCGUACACAAAUGUAAAUGUGUUUAAUUAAUGUUGGAUUAGAUUAUAUUCCCAAAAAAAGAUUAUGUUCCCACAUA
Molecule: long non-coding RNA, 281 nt
Organism: Trifolium pratense (red clover)
Lineage: Eukaryota; Viridiplantae; Streptophyta; Magnoliopsida; Fabales; Fabaceae
Exons: 2
Source: RefSeq, a predicted model, not a curated record